AGAAAAAAUGGAAGAGCAGAGGCCCAAGGCCAGCGAGAACAAGCCUGUGAUGACAGAAUGAGCAUCUCCUGAAACAGCAUUUGAUGCUUAAGGGUGUGUUUAGUUCACGCUAAAAUUAGAACUUAAAACGAAAGCUUCCUGAGAUUUUUCAUGCACGGUAUAGUGUCCCUUUCUAGCCUGUAGAAUUUUGGAUGCUCUGGUUGAACGUGCACCGACUGUUGCUGUUACAGUGAGAUGGAUUGGAUCCCUCAGCUACCUAUGAAUCCCUGAUC
RNAcentral lists this small RNA (272 nucleotides) under Oryza sativa Japonica Group (Japanese rice). RNAcentral's name for it is "sRNA Os11g0458333". The record is from RNAcentral. Lineage: Eukaryota; Viridiplantae; Streptophyta; Magnoliopsida; Poales; Poaceae.